RNA transcript from Bombus impatiens (common eastern bumble bee), 2288 nucleotides. It is a transcript of the gene named ubiquitin domain-containing protein 1, with no coding region annotated. Lineage: Eukaryota; Metazoa; Arthropoda; Insecta; Hymenoptera; Apidae. The transcript is spliced from 5 exons. The record is from RefSeq and is a predicted model, not a curated record.
UGAUUUAUAAUUUAGUGGAUAAGAUGGACGAAAAUGGCAUGUGAGGUGUUGUUAAAUUUCAGUGAAAUGUUUGGUUACACUAGCCAUCUAGGAUGGGAGGCUGCAUAGGCAUAACGAGGGCAAGAAAUGCCUCUGUCGACAACAGUACGGGAAAUUCUACGAGAGUAAAUUCAGGAAAUUCAAGGAAGAAUCAUCCAUUAUGCCAUGAGGCAAUUAGGUGGAAAUCAGAUGUACCUUUGACAGAAGGACAGCUAAGAAGUAAAAGAGAUGAAUUUUGGGAUACUGCACCUGCAUUUGAUGGACGUAAAGAAAUAUGGGAUGCAUUAAGAGCUGGGGCAACGGCAGCAGAGGCCCAGGAUUAUCAAUUAGCACAGGCUAUAUUAGAUGGAGCUAAUAUUUCUGUGCCAAAUGGUUUUUUAACAGAAUGUUAUGAUGAAUUGGGAACCAGAUAUCAAGUCCCUAUUUAUUGUUUAUCAUAUCCUAUUAAUAUUGUAAAAGAAGAUAGUGGAAGAGAUUCUCCUGCUGAUUGUUCAGAACCUAUUGAUAGUGGAGUUGAGCAGACAUUGAAGCUGAGAUUAUCAACUACAUUAGGAGAAGUUAAAUUGCCUGUUUACAGUAAGGACACUAUAGCUACUGCUAAAAAGAAAUUGCAGAGUCAGGAAGGUCUUGAACCAUCUCGUCAAAGGUGGUUUUUUGGUGGAAAGUUAUUAGGUGAUAAAAUGCAUAUAGAAGAAGCAAAGAUACAACCAGGUUAUGUAAUACAAGUAAUUGUAAAUCCAGAAAAAUUGGAUGACAGUCCUGUGAAAACAAGUUGAGCUAAUAUUAUACAAGAUAUACAAGUCAUAUUGAACCAUCUUUCUCUGAUAAGCACAUUCUUACCUGCAUUCGAACUCAAAAGAAAAAUACAGUGCUAAAUACAUGCCGAAAUAAUCUCUUAAAGAGUCCUUAUUAACAUUGGUUUAUUAACAUAAAUUACAUACUUAUACAAAAAGAAGUAUAAACACGAUUGGUAAUUAAUAACAUUUACCUAAUAGCAGGAAUGUUGUUAUACUAAUUUGUUACUACCAACGAAGGUGCUGGUGCUGUAACACUUGGGAAACUAAGUAUACAUGUAGAAAAUUAUUCUAUGCUGCUUAUUAAACCAUGUUGCAUAAUUAUAUGAUAUAAGAAUAAAAACAUACACUUAAAAAAAAGAUUAUAAUAAUAACAAUAAUAAUAAUAAGAAAAUUACGGAAAUAUUGAUGAAUAUAAAAAUACAAUGGACAAUAGUGAAAAAAUGAACAAGGUAUAUGCUGAUUAUUAAAUUGCAUUCUUUUGUUGUGUUUCUUACAGAUUUUAUUUUCUAGGCUUUUUGGAUUUAUAAUUAAUAACUAUAAUUUUUCUAAGGAUAAAUCAAUAGAAAAGAUUAUUAACAACCUUUGUUGCAUAAUGUGUGAAAUAUACAGUUCAAUGAUGUUUUUCUUUUGAUCGAAUUCAUUAAACUUUUGUAAAUGUAUUGUGAAUGUCUAUAAGACAUAAGUUUGAAUUAUUUCACAAAAGUACAUGUUUGGCCUAUUAGUGGCCUAAAAUCUUCGAUUCCUUCCUAUAAGUACUAAUAAGAUAUUAUAUAAGGUCUACAUAGCUGAAUAAUGCACGAGAAAAGAUGUAAGACUAAUAAUUAAAUUACAUGUGGUGCAGAACGUAUAAUUUUUAUACAAUUUUAUCAGCACAAUCACUUUCACAUCUGUGUUAUAUGUGCUUAUGAUAAAAUGAUCAACACAGUAAAAUCAAUAUUGCUAGUUCAAUUUUAAUAGCACCUAAUUCUUACUUCUGCCCCACAUGUUACACAGAAAGCAAAAAUGAUAUAAAGUAUAAUUAUAAAAAAUGACAUAUUAUGCGUGUGAAUUUAUUGACUGUACUAACACAGCAGUGAUAAAGUUUGUUUUUCAUAUGCAUUGAUCAUAAAAUUAUAAUAUAUAGUAUUGCGUGUGCGUGUAUGUAUAAUACGUAAUAUAUUAAAUAUGUAUGUAUACAGGUACAUACGUUGGUUCCACUAUUCUCAAUUUGAGUGUCAAAGCAAACAUAUUUAAUCUUAUAAGUAACUUAUUUAUAAAUUGGGUAAUUGCAUACAAGUUAUAAUGACAAAAAAAUGACUGGAAGCAACCACUAAAAGAUAUGAACAUAAGCGUAUAAAACCCUGUUCAUAUAAAAAAAAUGAAAUCUUGUGUUAACUAUGCAUUUCCUUGACAUAUUAUAAAAAUUAGUGCAAAUAAAGGGAGCACUUGUUUUAAAUUUAAGAGUUUCAGAUA